GUAGGUGAACUGUCGGAAGGAUCAUUGUUGAU
RNAcentral lists this ribosomal RNA (32 nucleotides) under Piper gigantifolium. RNAcentral describes it as "partial 18S ribosomal RNA". The record is from RNAcentral. Lineage: Eukaryota; Viridiplantae; Streptophyta; Magnoliopsida; Piperales; Piperaceae.